GAUGAAGAACGUAGCGAAAUGCGAUAAGUAAUGUGAAUUGCAGAAUUCAGUGAAUCAUCGAAUCUUUGAACGCACAUUGCGCCCGCCGGCACUCCGGCGGGCAUGCCUGUCCGAGCGUCAUUUCAACCCUCAGGACCCCCUUCCGGGGGGACCUGGUGCUGGGGACCAGCGGCCUCUGGGCCCCUGCCCCCCAAAUACAGUGGCGGUCGCGCCGCAGCCUCCCCUGCGUAGUAGCACACCUCGCACCGGAGAGCGGCUCGGCCACGCCGUGAAACCCCCAAUUUUUCAAGGUUGACCUCGGAUCAGGUAGGAAUACCCGCUGAACUUAAGCAUAUCAAUAAGCGGAGGA
This 349-nucleotide unclassified non-coding RNA is filed under the name soil metagenome. RNAcentral describes it as "partial contains 5.8S ribosomal RNA, internal transcribed spacer 2, and large subunit ribosomal RNA". The stretch from base 1 to 120 matches the Rfam family "5.8S ribosomal RNA", at positions 35 to 154 of the family's 154-position model. The record is from RNAcentral.